Zingiber officinale is the source of this 216-nucleotide long non-coding RNA. RefSeq lists it as uncharacterized. The record is from RefSeq and is a predicted model, not a curated record. Lineage: Eukaryota; Viridiplantae; Streptophyta; Magnoliopsida; Zingiberales; Zingiberaceae. The transcript is spliced from 3 exons.
AUGUGAAUCCAUAAUAGAGGAGGAUAAAGCUCCUUAUGUUGCUAAAGCAGCUAAAUUGAAGACGGAGUACACCAAGAAAUUAGUUAUGUACAAUAAGAAUCAGACAUUGAGUGUUGUCCUGGAAUUCUGGAAAUCCUUCUCUCAUGUCCAGACAUUAGAGCUAUGUGAAAUUUUUAUUCUCUGGUUACAGUUCAUACAGUACUUACUACAAUUCUC